AAUCAACGCUGGCGGCGUGCCUCAGACAUGCAAGUCGAACGAUUAAAGCUCUCUUCGGAGAGUGCAUAAAGUGGCGCACGGGUGAGUAACACGUAAGUAAUCUACCUUCGAGUGGGGAAUAACGUCCGGAAACGGACGCUAAUACCGCAUAACGCAGCGGCAUCGCAAGAUGACAGUUGUUAAAGAUUUAUCGCUUGAAGAGGAGCUUGCGGCAGAUUAGCUUGUUGGUAAGGUAACGGCUUACCAAGGCUACGAUCUGUAUCCGGUCUAAGAGGACGGUCGGACACACUGACACUGAAUAACGGGUCAGACUCCUACGGGAGGCAGCAGUCGGGAAUUUUGGGCAAUGGGGGAAACCCUGACCCAGCAACGCCGCCGUGAAGGAUGAA
This 389-nucleotide ribosomal RNA is filed under the name uncultured bacterium. RNAcentral describes it as "bacterial SSU rRNA". It matches the Rfam family "Bacterial small subunit ribosomal RNA", at positions 32 to 412 of the family's 1533-position model. The record is from RNAcentral.